GUAGCUCAGCGGUAGAGCACCGAGUUCUCAAAAUUUGAAAAGUGUUUAAAGUGUUUAGCCUGAGUUCGAUUCCCGGAAAGAUCA
Molecule: non-coding RNA, 84 nt
Organism: Anaeramoeba flamelloides
Lineage: Eukaryota; Anaeramoebidae
Source: the annotation of a GenBank genome assembly